RNAcentral lists this unclassified non-coding RNA (737 nucleotides) under uncultured fungus. RNAcentral's name for it is "sequence contains 18S rRNA gene, ITS1, 5.8S rRNA gene, ITS2, 28S rRNA gene". The record is from RNAcentral. Lineage: Eukaryota; Fungi.
GCAACCGGCCCGGCGAGCCCAUCGACCUCGCCCGCGCCAUGCUGUUCCUCUGCUCCGACGAUUCGGACUUCAUUGUCGGGGCCGAGCUGUUCGUCGACGGCGGUUGCGCCGCCAUGAUGCCGGGAGGUGAUGCGGGCGGAUGAUGCCGUGAUGUCGAUGCGGCGGAUGCAAUCCCCCCACCCGAAGCUCCUCGCGCUGAUGCGCUCCGGCGCUUCGACCUCCCCACGAGGGGAGGCGGGUUGAAAGGGGCACGCUUAUUGGGUGUUUGGCGGACGCCUGGGAUCACACGGAAGGGGGUCGCGGUCAUGGGGCGUUCCGCGCAUAAUGCGUCCAGCCGAACCGCUGUCCGGAGCUGUCGAUGAUCCGCCAUGUGCUUUUUGCUUUUCUCCUGUCGCUUGCCGCCUCUGCCGCCGCCGCCCAGACGACGGCGUGGCCGAACUUCAAGGAAGACGACUACGUUCUCAAGAAUUUCCGCUUCGGGAGCGGCGAGACGCUGCCCGAGCUGCGCAUGCAUUAUCGCACGCUCGGUACGCCGAAGCGCAACGCGGCGGGCGAGAUCAUCAACGGCGUGGUGCUCCUCCACGGGACCAGCGGCGCUGGCACUUCAUGGUUACUGCCGUCGCUCGCCGACGAGCUGUACAAGCCGGGCCAGCCGCUCGAUGCCGCCGAGCACUUCAUUAUCAUCCCGGACUCCAUCGGCGUGGGCGGCUCGUCGAAACCGAGUGAUGGGCUACGCG